ACACUCGACACCUACAGGAGGCAGCAGUGGGGAAUAUUGCACAAUGGGGGAAACCCUGAUGCAGCGACGCCGCGUGAGCGAAGAAGUAUUUCGGUAUGUAAAGCUCUAUCAGCAGGGAAGAAACUGACGGUACCUGACUAAGAAGCACCGGCUAAAUACGUGCCAGCAGCCGCGGUAAUCUGAGGCGGGCUGGCAAGGC
This 199-nucleotide ribosomal RNA is filed under the name uncultured bacterium. Its description in RNAcentral is "partial 16S ribosomal RNA". It matches the Rfam family "Bacterial small subunit ribosomal RNA", at positions 328 to 539 of the family's 1533-position model. The record is from RNAcentral.